AUCAUUAUAAAAAAAAUUGCCCCCCCUGAGAAUUUUUUCAGGAGCCGCCACUGGUUUGGUUUAGUCAUGUUUUAAGCAUUGGAACAAGAACAUUGUAAGUAUUUUGCAGCUCUGUCAACAAUGAUUUGAUGAUGCUAGUUUGGACAGCAAGGGCAGCUCCUAAAUGUGUUAUAAGUUGAGAGUGUUGCUUUCAAAUUUAGUGACUUCAGUAGGCUAUCGAUUAUAUAUUUGUUCAGGUAACCAAAAGUACAGACAAUAUGGAAGCCUCUCAUCAAUGUCAGUAUCACAGACCUCGUAAUGUUGUUUACUACUCCCCUGCUGUAUAUCUGAUUAGGACUUACCUUCUUACUAUUAAUAAAUGACCUUACAUGAAUGGCUGUCGAUAUCUUUUUUUCUUUGCCAGGUGUUCUUUUGGAAAUUGAAUGCAUGCCCCUUGAGAGAGAAAAUACAACCUACGACACUUGGCCUACAGGACGCUGAUUUCAGGCAAUCUGGACGAAGUUCACUGAUGUCAGCCCAGACAUGAAGGCACAUCUUGGCAGUAGUGAAAUGGGGAGUGAUGUGCUGCCAUGUGCCUCCUGUGUGAUGUAUGGGAGAGAAGAAACGAGCCAAGAUCUUCCAGAUUUCCCAGCCCAGCUGAGGAACCAAAAGUGAUGUGCCAGUAUUUUUCAUUUGCCCAGUGGAGUGCCUGAUGCAUUUUAAUUGAAUUAUAUAAUAUAUAUUAACCAAUAAAAAUUGAUAUUUUUAGUCCACAUAGCAAAUAUAUGUACUGUAACUCAUACUCUUUCACGUAUAAUUCUGUUGUGAUGGUGUAUGUUGGUAAGUUAUUUCUUAUUAUCGACUGCUCGAUUUUAAUUCUAAACUAAACAUUUUAAGAAAUACCCAUUUCAGUAAUGGUCAUUAUUAUGCAAGAGCAGUAUCCUGUUUUGUUCUCAUGGCACAGUUGUACUGAAUCUCUGCACGUCCACACUUAUUUCCACAACUGCGAGGCUCCCCCUGUGCUCACUAUAAUUACAAUCAUCUGAUGCGUAAUUACAAUUUUAAAACAUUGUGUCAGACUGCAUCAGCAUGAUAGAGAAAUAAUAGAAAAAAGUGGAAACUGUGUUUUUGAUAUUCUGGGCACCAGACAUAAGAAGCAGGAGCCAUCAGUAGCCAUCAACUGCUGGACA
Clupea harengus (Atlantic herring) is the source of this 1169-nucleotide long non-coding RNA. RefSeq lists it as uncharacterized. The record is from RefSeq and is a predicted model, not a curated record. NCBI's taxonomy places the organism in Eukaryota, Metazoa, Chordata, Actinopteri, Clupeiformes, Clupeidae.